RNAcentral lists this ribosomal RNA (253 nucleotides) under uncultured bacterium. Its description in RNAcentral is "partial 16S ribosomal RNA". It matches the Rfam family "Bacterial small subunit ribosomal RNA", at positions 524 to 776 of the family's 1533-position model. The record is from RNAcentral.
UACAGAGGGGGCAAGCGUUGCUCGGAAUUACUGGGCGUAAAGGGCGCGUAGGCGGGAUGGCAAGUCGGUCGUGAAAUCCCUCGGCUCAACCGAGGAACGUCGAUCGAUACUGCUGUUCUUGAGGAUUGCAGAGGAGACUGGAAUUCCCGGUGUAGCGGUGAAAUGUGUAGAGAUCGGGAGGAACACCGGUGGCGAAGGCGGGUCUCUGGGCAAUUCCUGACGCUGAGGCGCGAAAGCGUGGGGAGCGAACGGG